GAGUUNGAUCAUGGCUCAGGAUAAACGCUGGCGGCAUGCNUAAGACAUGCAAGUCGUACGAAGGGACCCUUUGACAAGUUGGAAAUAUUUGAAAGCUUGCUUUAAGAUAAUGAAAAUUUAGAUUAGGAUUUUCCCUUAGUGGCAAACGGGUGAGUAACGCGUGGGCAACCUGCCCUGAACAGAGGGAUAGCCACCGGAAACGGUGAUUAAUACCUCAUGAAGCGAGAGGGUCGCAUGACCUACUUGUUAAAGAUUUUAUCGGUUCAGGAUGGGCCCGCGUCUGAUUAGCUAGUUGGUAGGGUAACGGCCUACCAAGGCGACGAUCAGUAGCCGACCUGAGAGGGUGAUCGGCCACACUGGAACUGAGACACGGUCCAGACUCCUACGGGAGGCAGCAGUGGGGAAUAUUGCACAAUGGGCGCAAGCCUGAUGCAGCAACGCCGCGUGAAUGAUGAAGGCCUUCGGGUCGUAAAGUUCUGUCAAGUGGGACGAAGGCUGCAUUGUGAAUAGCGAUGCAGAUGACGGUACCUAAAGAGGAAGCUCCGGCUAACUACGUGCCAGCAGCCGCGG
RNAcentral lists this ribosomal RNA (570 nucleotides) under uncultured Bacillota bacterium. RNAcentral describes it as "bacterial SSU rRNA". It matches the Rfam family "Bacterial small subunit ribosomal RNA", at positions 9 to 520 of the family's 1533-position model. Lineage: Bacteria; Bacillati; Bacillota. The record is from RNAcentral.